Molecule: long non-coding RNA, 2487 nt
Organism: Eleginops maclovinus (Patagonian blennie)
Lineage: Eukaryota; Metazoa; Chordata; Actinopteri; Perciformes; Eleginopidae
Exons: 3
Source: RefSeq, a predicted model, not a curated record
CAGUUGUAGAAAUAUGUAUCGCAUUUAAACAAACGAAAGAUGUUGAUUGUCUUUUAACGCAAAACAAAACGUUAUAAAGUUCAACUUGACAUCAACACCUCGAUGCUCACUAGCCGCAAACUGAUAGUAAACACAACAACAACAGAUUUAAACUUGAGUGGUUCACGAGACCAAAACACAUCACUGCUAGCUUGCCAGAGAACACACUUAUGCUUUCCGUGUUCUUUAACUUUACUCGGGGGGCAUGGUACCUCAAAAACAGACUUUAAGGAGGUCAAGCAUCUUUCUGAGAGGAUUAUUAAGCAUGAAGGCAACACGACAACAAGCGGAAAUUUGGCAAACAUGGCAACCCAAACUGACAGAAUGAACAACUGACAGCACAUUAAGGAGAUGAGCUACUGUAGAUGCUGUUCAUCAAUGACACUGAAGAUCUGACGGAGGCUCUAUUGUGAGAUGCACAUAAAUAAGACUUGAUGAAGAUUUUCACAAACCCACCUAUGCACUUGAUGUCAUAGCCUUGUGGUGCUUUGAGGGUCCGCCUGGUCCAUCCGUUUCUGAGCACCUGCAGAUGAACCUCUUUACCCUGAAUCAGCAGCACAUGCUCAUCUAUCCAGCCCAGGAAGAAGAUCUCAGUCAGUGCGAGUGUUAGAGCCUUGUUCCAGAAAUGCUGCAUGUUUACGGCUUUGAAAUUAGCGAACACCUCGUAGCCGGUGACGCGUUGCUCUAACUUCGGUGGUGAUGAUGGGGGGUCCGGUUCAUCUUCUCCGCCGAGCUGCGACAGCACCAGAGCCAGAGAGUGCGGAGAGACCAGAAGAAACUUCUCCAUUCCUGCUUCAGGCAAAGUUAUCGACGGUCCGUAUCAAAACAAAACACCGUUUCCUCACUGUUGGACGGUGUAUGGACCGCGCAUGUCUUACUUUUCUAUCCCAAAAGUGCCUGAUUAUCUCAACUGGUUUACUCAUAUUUAAAGAAAUGAACAACAGAGUAAAAUAUUACAGGAUGGACUUAUCCGGAGUUUGCAGAAUCAUGUUGGAAAUAAGCAUAAUAAGUACACGUGCUCCAUGUAAAAUCUGGGAAAUUAACAACCUGACACGCCGUCCUCUGCAGUCAACUAAACCCGACUAUCAAAGAGUAUUAGGGACUAUUUUCAGCGACAAAGAGGCGAGGACUAGUGCUGCGUUCAAGGACCACACGUAAACUCCUACUUUACACUAAGAAAGAUCAUCAAUGUCAGGCCUGUUUGUUAGAAAUUGUGAAUGGGUUUUAAAAUACCAAACGUUUUGUUGAUUUGGUUUGACUAGACAAUACUAUUACCAACAACAAUUGAAAGAAAAAUUCAAACAACCGCAUAGUAUGUGCAGUAGAAACCUAAUUUUAACUUUAUUGUCCCAAAAGGCGCAAUAAAGUGUUGCUUAAAGUAAGAAUAAUAGUAAAAUAAAUAACAAAUAUAUCUAAAAGGCAUGAUCAUAGAGGGGAAACAUAACCAACAUGUUUCUCAAAAUCCAUUUGAAUUCUCUUUCAGCACCUUAUAGUGGAAAUAAAGUUUACAAAUCAACCCUUUAUUAAUGAUUGCUCUACUGUAGAGCUGCAAUAAUUUGGCUAUUAUUUGAUUGGUCAAUUUCCAGACAAAUAACGUCUUUGAUAUUUAAGUUACUGCUAAUCAAUGCUUUAUAAAAGUAAUGGCCUAAUGCAAACAUAAUCUAAAAGUAAACAUAAUACAAUCAUGAAAGCUAGGAAUAAUUAGCUUUUCAUUGCGUAUGCUGUCAAUUUUCAUCCCAAGACUAAACUCUUAACAUCAACCAAAAUAAAGAAACUGAUUGGAUGAACUCUUUAUAAUAUUGUAUCCAGGGGGGCUUUGAGUCUGGGUAUUUUUAAUGGCUGGUGUGUGUAGGUGUUGAGCUGUGAGCAUUUGUAUCAGUAUGUCCUCCAGAUACCAGGUGUAAGCCUCUUUUGUGAGAGCUAGUUUAGGUAAAGUGGGAUCUGUGCUGGCAGUGAGGGAUCGGAGACCGAGUUUUAUUUGGCCCAGGGCCUCAGGAUCUGCUGGCCCACUUCUUCUUACCUAGAGACAUGCCAAAUCUGGAGUAAUCCUGCCUGUUCACACUCAAAAGAAGUGUGCAAAAGUACACCCUUUACUGUGUUGGUAAAGGUUAACUAGAUUUAUGAGAUAUGAACAACAAUGGCAAGACUUGAUGGAAAGUGAGCAGAUACACGACUGUAAGAGCCAAGAACAAAAUCAUUAACACUGUUGUACAACACGUAAUGGAAACUUGUUUUUAUUUUUUAUGGAAACACAACACCAAUCUCACAGUAUAACUGCUUACAUAAUAGUGAUGGAAUAUGAAUAAACCAAAAGUUACAUUCCUAGCAACAAGUGUAUUACAUUGACAGGACUUAAAAACGGGAUUGUCCAACGACUGAAGUAUUUUAACAGCAAAGUGAUUUCAGCUAUUUUGCUGUAAAUAUUAGAAAAUGUACUCAUGAAUGAGC